RNAcentral lists this ribosomal RNA (39 nucleotides) under Sisyrinchium cuspidatum. RNAcentral's name for it is "partial 28S ribosomal RNA". Lineage: Eukaryota; Viridiplantae; Streptophyta; Magnoliopsida; Asparagales; Iridaceae. The record is from RNAcentral.
GCGACCCCAGGUCAGGCGGGACUACCCGCUGAAUUUAAA